This 1064-nucleotide ribosomal RNA is filed under the name fungal endophyte. RNAcentral describes it as "eukaryotic LSU rRNA". The stretch from base 486 to 1064 matches the Rfam family "Eukaryotic large subunit ribosomal RNA", at positions 1 to 591 of the family's 3401-position model. Lineage: Eukaryota; Fungi. The record is from RNAcentral.
GAGUUUACGCUCUACAACCCUUUGUGAACAUACCUAUAACUGUUGCUUCGGCGGGUAGGGUCUCCGUGACCCUCCCGGCCUCCCGCCCCCGGGCGGGUCGGCGCCCGCCGGAGGAUAACCAAACUCUGAUUUAACGACGUUUCUUCUGAGUGGUACAAGCAAAUAAUCAAAACUUUUAACAACGGAUCUCUUGGUUCUGGCAUCGAUGAAGAACGCAGCGAAAUGCGAUAAGUAAUGUGAAUUGCAGAAUUCAGUGAAUCAUCGAAUCUUUGAACGCACAUUGCGCCCGCCAGCAUUCUGGCGGGCAUGCCUGUUCGAGCGUCAUUUCAACCCUCAAGCUCUGCUUGGUGUUGGGGCCCUACAGCUGAUGUAGGCCCUCAAAGGUAGUGGCGGACCCUCCCGGAGCCUCCUUUGCGUAGUAACUUUACGUCUCGCACUGGGAUCCGGAGGGACUCUUGCCGUAAAACCCCCAAUUUUCCAAAGGUUGACCUCGGAUCAGGUAGGAAUACCCGCUGAACUUAAGCAUAUCAAUAAGCGGAGGAAAAGAAACCAACAGGGAUUGCCUCAGUAACGGCGAGUGAAGCGGCAACAGCUCAAAUUUGAAAUCUGGCCCUAGGCCCGAGUUGUAAUUUGCAGAGGAUGCUUUUGGUGCGGUGCCUUCCAAGUUCCCUAGAACGGGACGCCAGAGAGGGUGAGAGCCCCGUACAGUUGGACACCAAGCCUUUGUAAAGCUCCUUCGACGAGUCGAGUAGUUUGGGAAUGCUGCUCAAAAUGGGAGGUAUAUUUCUUCUAAAGCUAAAUACCGGCCAGAGACCGAUAGCGCACAAGUAGAGUGAUCGAAAGAUGAAAAGCACUUUGAAAAGAGGGUUAAACAGCACGUGAAAUUGUUAAAAGGGAAGCGCUUGUGACCAGACUUGCGUCCGGUGAAUCACCCAGCUCUCGCGGCUGGGGCACUUCGCCGGCUCAGGCCAGCAUCAGCUCGCUGUCGGGGACAAAAGCUUCAGGAACGUAGCUCUCUUCGGGGAGUGUUAUAGCCUGUUGCAUAAUACCCUUCGGCGGGCUGA